Non-coding RNA from Acanthosepion pharaonis, 112 nucleotides. NCBI's taxonomy places the organism in Eukaryota, Metazoa, Mollusca, Cephalopoda, Sepiida, Sepiidae. The record is from the annotation of a GenBank genome assembly.
ACGAUCAUAUCGCGUUGAAACACCGAUUUUCGUAAGAUCACCGAAGUUAAGCAACGUCGAGCCAGGUUAGUGCCUAAAUGGGUGACCGCUUGGGAAUAACAGGUGUUGUAAG